This 594-nucleotide ribosomal RNA is filed under the name uncultured fungus. Its description in RNAcentral is "eukaryotic LSU rRNA". The stretch from base 170 to 320 matches the Rfam family "5.8S ribosomal RNA". Lineage: Eukaryota; Fungi. The record is from RNAcentral.
UCCGUAGGUGAACCUGCAGCAGGAUCAUUCUCGGAACGCUUUAAAACCUUGCUUCGGCAAGGAUAGCUGUCUUGUGGGUUCUCCAGCGUGGUACGAACCCUCUUGUGCGGUGCUAUGGUCGCUGCUCUUCCUCUUUGAGGUUGUCAGGGAGGAUCCCUGACGUUCACAGUCCGCUCAGCGAUGGAUAGCUUGGCUCGGUGAUCGAUGAAGGACGCAGCAAAGUGCGAUAAGCGUCACGACUUGCAGAUUCCCGAGAGCUGACAAGUCUCUGAAUGCAAAUAGCGGCCGAUUUCAAGUCGGUCAUGUGCUGCAGAGUGUUGUUGCAAUGGCUAAUCAUCAAACGCAUCUCCGUUCGGAUGAAGCGUUGGAUUUGUCAAUAGCACCGAAGGUCGAAGCGCGAUCUUCCAUGCUAAUGAUGAAAUCCCCGCGCAAGACGAAGUGCGGCCAGACUAUGCCUGGAUGACGCUGUCUGUCUUGCUUGCGGCCUCGCUCUCUAUCUCAACCUCUGCAGUGCAGGAGAACCCGCUGAACUUAAGCAUAUCAAUAAGGCGGGAGGGGAAGGUCGGACUGGCCAAGGGCACACAGGGGGGGAUA